GAUGAACGCUGGCGGCGUGCCUAAUACAUGCAAGUCGAGCGAACAGACGAGGAGCUUGCUCCUCUGACGUUAGCGGCGGACGGGUGAGUAACACGUGGAUAACCUACCUAUAAGACUGGGAUAACUUCGGGAAACCGGAGCUAAUACCGGAUAAUAUAUUGAACCGCAUGGUUCAAUAGUGAAAGACGGUUUUGCUGUCACUUAUAGAUGGAUCCGCGCCGGAUUAGCUAGUUGGUAAGGUAACGGCUUACGAAGGCAACGAUGCGUAGCCGACCUGAGAGGGUGAUCGGCCACACUGGAACUGAGACACGGUCCAGACUCCUACGGGAGGCAGCAGUACCGAAUCUUCCGCAAUGGGCGAAAGCCUGACGGAGCAACGCCACGUGAGUGAUGAAGGUCUUCGGAUCGUAAAACUCUCUUAUUAUUGAAGAACAAAUUUGUAAGUAACUAUGCACUUCUUGACGGUACCUAAUCAGAAAGCAACGGCUAACUACGUG
This 497-nucleotide ribosomal RNA is filed under the name uncultured bacterium. RNAcentral describes it as "partial 16S ribosomal RNA". It matches the Rfam family "Bacterial small subunit ribosomal RNA", at positions 28 to 507 of the family's 1533-position model. The record is from RNAcentral.